This 492-nucleotide ribosomal RNA is filed under the name uncultured bacterium. Its description in RNAcentral is "partial 16S ribosomal RNA". It matches the Rfam family "Bacterial small subunit ribosomal RNA", at positions 29 to 507 of the family's 1533-position model. The record is from RNAcentral.
AGUGAACGCUGGCGGUAGGCCUAACACAUGCAAGUCGAACGGCAGCACAGUAAGAGCUUGCUCUUACGGGUGGCGAGUGGCGGACGGGUGAGGAAUACAUCGGAAUCUACUUUUUCGUGGGGGAUAACGUAGGGAAACUUACGCUAAUACCGCAUACGACCUACGGGUGAAAGCAGGGGAUCUUCGGACCUUGCGCGAUUGAAUGAGCCGAUGUCGGAUUAGCUAGUUGGCGGGGUAAAGGCCCACCAAGGCGACGAUCCGUAGCUGGGCUGAGAGGAUGAUCAGCCACACUGGAACUGAGACACAGUCCAGACUCCUACGGGAGGCAGCAGUGGGGAAUAUUCGGCAAUGGGCGCAAGCCUGAUCCAGCCAUACCGCGUGGGUGAAGAAGGCCUUCGGGUUGUAAAGCCCUUUUGUUGGGAAAGAAAAGCAGCAGGUUAAUACCCCGCUGUUCUGACGGUACCCAAAGAAUAAGCACCGGCUAACUUCGUG